RNAcentral lists this ribosomal RNA (253 nucleotides) under uncultured bacterium. RNAcentral describes it as "partial 16S ribosomal RNA". It matches the Rfam family "Bacterial small subunit ribosomal RNA", at positions 524 to 776 of the family's 1533-position model. The record is from RNAcentral.
UACGUAGGUGGCAAGCGUUGUCCGGAUUUACUGGGCGUAAAGCGUGCGCAGGCGGUCUUGCAAGACAGAUGUGAAAUCCCCGGGCUUAACCUGGGAACUGCAUUUGUGACUGCAAGGCUGGAGUACGGUAGAGGGGGAUGGAAUUCCGCGUGUAGCAGUGAAAUGCGUAGAUAUGCGGAGGAACACCGAUGGCGAAGGCAAUCCCCUGGACCUGUACUGACGCUCAUGCACGAAAGCGUGGGGAGCAAACAGG